GUGGUUGGUUUUCUAGUUGACUUCCUUUUCGUUUUCUUUUAUAAACCCCUUGUUUAGGGGUCUGAGCCUUUGUCUCCUUCUGCUUAGUUAGUCUCUCCUUCACCGUACGUGUGCGCAGUGGAGGAGCCCCUCGGGUGUAGCGGCGACGAAGAGGUCGAUGUAUAAGAAGGAGUGGGGGCCAUUGGGUGCGUGCGGGCAGGAAGAGGGGGAGAGGAGCCUCGUGGAAGCGAAAGUGUAAUAGCCCCUUGUAAGAAGAGAGAGAGAGAGAGAAGGUUCUUCAGGCCCUCUUAGAGUAGACGGGGGGAACUGGACACUUAAUCAAUCAAAGCAGGACGGGUCUAGGACCACCUCGCCGUUCGGACGUCGUUAGGCACCCGUUUGUACUCACCCAACUUUUUCUUCAAAAAAAAAAGAGAAAUCGUUCUUGGUCUUGAUUUAGUAUAUCAACAAAAUACCGUGCGAAGACUACCGGUUGUGAUGUUACCCUUCAUGGUGAGCUAGUACGCUACACAUGGACGACAAGUUACCGCUUUGUGACGAAGGUUUACCACAGGCACGAAAGGAAACAUGACAACGGGAUCGCAUGACAAAAUAACCAAAUAGGCGCUAGUGACGGGCCAAGAAGUUCAGCUACCUCUCGUAGUGUUUGGUGAGAGCCCUCCAUCAAUGUUAACUAUGUCUUUGUUUAUGCGGAUAGCACUUCGUACUCUUCCAAACCUUGAUGUGAUAUCGCCUGUAACGAGACGAACGAAAACCAUGGUCGAAAGGGGUCUAGAGGGAACGUUGUUAGCUACGUUAGGCAUUAGAGCCAGUUGACUGUCGUCCUCCAAAUCCAGGUCCAUGUGAACACCCAAGACGACGCAAGCUAGACAAGGGCUAGGUACGACAGACACACCAAUACGGUUCCCGUCCGAGAUACUUUUUCUAAAGGCUAAAUCCACAAACCAAUCAACUCGACAAAACCAGUAAGACCCGUAUGUAGACCGACAUAUAAUAAAAUCUCCACACCUGUGGAUUACACUAGUGGGAGACCCUCCGGGACCAUUGUCAAAACGUCAUACCUAAUGAAAACCAAGUACGCAUACGCGUCCUAUUCGCCACCGGUAUACACAGUUAGGGAAACCAGUCUCCACUCUCUGGACUUCUAACCCAAGGUCGUCUUCUAUGAAGUGAAGUGGUACUGUUUUUAACACUACUUUUAUCAUUGUAUGAUGGGUCGCUCUUACUACUACACCUAUAUAAGAGGUAAGUAAGAAUGUCGUUACGUCCAUUUGUCAAAGACUUGUAACCCAUGACAAAGGAGAUUACUUGGAUAUAAGAAACAUACAUUGGUCUUCUCGGUCUCAAAUAUGUGUAAGUGAACACAUCAGGUUAUUUACUAGUUCACGGAUAGUCAUCAAUUGAAUAGGUCAGAGGUAGUCUAAAGCGUAAAGACAAACUUUGAUGUACCCUCAAUUAAACACUUAAUGUUGAGAUCGUGAGUACACUGUAAAACGUUAAUGUGAUUAAACAGACAUGAUGUUUUAUGUAAACAAGAAGUGCCCCCUACAAACUACCAUGAACAUCAAAUACGUCUAACUGAUAGGUAAUUAUAUGGCUUUUUCCGAUGGCGGGGCGAAAUAUAUAUUUCGUUUCCAGUUGUAGUGGACCAUGUUUGCGUGCGGUGGUGGUGUGUGUGGGUUCCAUCCUAUGUAUCCGCGACUCGCGUCGUUGUGGUGGGGAUCGUGAUGUUGGUGCUUCUCUACUUCGGCGUAUGCUGCUUGGCACCUGAGGUUCCACCGCGGAAGUCCUUCCUAUGCCGUGGCUUCGCGGCGGGGGCGAGCUAGGCUCCUAGUCUCAAAGGGGACCUCGGCGUACUACCCGUUACUCUCGGCGCUGCUGCGGAAGUUCUUCCCUUGCUCGAAGCGCAGCGGCCAGGCAGGCUUCUAUCUUGUCCAAAAGUGGGGCCGGUUGUGAGUGGCGGUGGCUUGCGGUGUGGGACCGAUGGUGCGGCGGGUGUGCCGGUACCGGUGGCCCGUCGUGGUUCGGUGCCCGAGACGGAUUCUCGUGGCGCGACGGCGACGGGGCCGAAGGUUCUGGAACUGUGGUGGAGUGGACUCUGGGUGGCGAUGGGGUUGGUUUCUCUGUUCGCCUUUCCAGGGAGGAAAGCGUGGGGACCCGCUGCUCUGGGUCAUCCGGCCGGUCGUGACCGUAGGUAACUGGGCAGGGCUUCGGGGCACGCGUUCUGCUCGAGCCAGGACGUCGUGGCACUCCCCCUACUCCAGUCAGGACAACGUGGCACGCGCUCUGAUCGAGCCAGACCAGCGUUACACACGCUCUGCUCGUUACCUGGCGUCGACCCUCUCCCGGUCAGGAAGCUACCUUCAUCGCGGGCGCGCUGCUCCUCUACCCCGCUUCCAGCUUUGCCAGGCUAGCGUCUGCUCGGCUGCGGCCUCUUCGGCAGGCGGAGGCGUCCGUCUAGGCGGCUCGGUGGCACUUCGGCGGUGCUGUGGCUCUCCGGUGGUACGCGGCCUGGAGGGGUGCGGCGGCGGGUGCCGGCCUCGUUGCUGGUGUGGGCCGGCGAUGGUAUGAGCGUAGCGGGCCGCUCGAGGUGCACGGCCUCGGCGGCCCGUGCGUGGUGGUCUAGCCGGGGUGCGGUAGUGGCCCGGCCCGACUAGUCUUGGUCGGGGGGUCGUCGGCCGGCGUGGUGGGUCUGGGCGCGCGUGGUGGUUACGGUAGGCCCUCCCGCCUAGGUACGGCGGGAGCGGACGUGGAGCUGCUUUCUUCGGGCUGCCUAGACCGGCUUCGGGUCGACGGUGGUGACGGUGGCGGUGCCCGUGGUGGUCGGUGACGUGGCGGACUAAGGGUCGAUGCGGACGGUGCGUCAUAGCGCAGCGGGCAGCGGUCGCGGCACAGGGUCGACCUUCCUCGUCGGGGCACGGCCAGGGGAGGACGCUCCUUAGUUUUUACGGGGCGGCAGUGGCGGCGGCCCGCCCGAAACGGGCCGGCUCGGGACACCGCCGCCGCCCCCUCCCCCCUCUUCUCGACCCCCUGGGACCACCGCCGCCCGAAAGGAGGGCCGACGGCGUGCCCCCGCUGUGCCCUUCCUCCCCUCCCUCUAUGAACGGAGAGACCGAAGAAAAGAACUUAGGUAGGUAAUUAUAAAGAGCCGUAAUGCAUGAGAUUGUGAUGGGGGUGGACCUGUACGUCGAACAGGAGCUGGACGUCGGAUUGGUUGAAUAUUGGUACUGAGCUGCGUUGUGUUUGGAUUGUGGAUUUUUGUUCGGAAAAUGUAGAGCCGAACAAAAUAAUAAGAGUUGGAUUUUACCUGACUCCGCGAAAUAAGAGUUGGAUAUAUCAGUCCGUCUGCAGAUGGGAUCGGCGACGGCAAAAGAGCAUACCAAAGAGUGGCGGCAAGGCCUGGUAACGUGACGGUUAGUUCAGAAGAGGUAGGGAGGAAAGCCGCACGUGGCCCUCUUCCAUGUCGUCCGGAGGCCUUGGGGCGGAGACCACUAGGACAUGCCCUCUCCCCGCUAGUCCAAAAACCCCUCGCGUGAGCGCGCUGACGACCGUCGCUGCUGAAGCGCUUGCUGCUGAAGAAGGGGCUGGAGCCGUUGGAGUAGGAGCUGCUGUACCCGCUGUUGCAGUUGCGGCCGCCACGACGAGGGCGACGUGGUAAAGGGUACAGAGUCGUCGUACCCCCUCGGCCACAGGAGCCGGCCUCAACGUAGAUGAACGCCCGCUGGAGUGACACUGCUAGUGUAGAUGUCUAAGCCUCCAUGUUUGCUGACCAUUUCUUCGAGGAAGUUGAUAAACUAAAUUCUCUUCUGUACCCAACCACGACUUUUAUAUACACAACCGAUAUCCCGGUAUCUUUAUUACUAGCUACUAGUUUAGGUAGAGACGUAAAUUUCCUACUGAGGAAGCCGCCACACGACAGUUUAAACUACUUCAACUCGUACGGACGGAAUACUAGUUAGGACUGUCACACGUCGUACUAUACGUGAAGACGACAAGACAGAUCAAUCACGAUAUCAAGUAACCAACGAUUUUAACUAACGAGUAGAGGACGAAUCACUUUGCCGACGACCCACAAAGAAAAGUUCAUUUACCGUUACGAUUCAACGACCAAAUUGAAUCAUAACAUCCCUACCUGUAUACCUAACUCAUGGGAUAACUUUCGAUGUGUCUAGAAUCGUCGGUUCUUGAAGAUAAUCUUAUCGAAGCUACCUCUUUUCAAUAAUACCUACCAGAAAACAUGAUACACGAAGUUAGUCUCGAAGCUAAAAGAAUCGGCCGUUGUUCCACAUUCUAUCGAAACACCUACCAAACCACGGAAACCUCGAAGGAGGUAACUACGUACGUAAGAUAAGACGUGUAUGGGAAGUAGAGGAUGGAGGAGCACAAGCACGAGAGACGACACUAACCCGCCAACUUUAGUUAAAUAGACCUAUCGCUCCUCGUUAAGUCAUUAGUAAAUGUGUGGUACAUAUGAAGUAAAAUAAAGUACAUAUUGGAUAUAUUCUGUCUUUCACCCAUCGAGGAGGCAAAGUUACGAUCGGACUUUUUAUGACUCAAAGGGAAAUCUAUUAAAGUACAUAUUGUACAUAUUCUUUCAUGGUAAUGAACUUUUAAAUAUCGCACGUCUGGUGGUGUUUCUUAUUAGACGGAAAUCUAUUAAACUCACCUACGAGUAAACUAUCAAUUAGUUAAUACGAGUAUUGCUCCCGCAGACCUCGUUCGACGGACGGAGGUUCUCGCGGAAAAGGAUCCCCAUAGUAUUACUGGACACAUAAAGGAUACUAAUUAACUACAUCAUCUAAACUUCAAUUCCCUAACCACAACGUUAAACCCUACGCCACUGUCACUGAAACGUAAAAUCUCAUCGCCGUAUGUAGAUAUAUAUUCUUAUGGAUACAAGGCUUAAAUAGAAAUCGGAUACGAAGCCAAGUCCACGCAUUAAGAACUGAUAUCACCCGCAACACAACAACGAGGACACUAUCCAACAAAUAAACCUGAACACGAUGUUUCUACAUCAAAGACGUUUUUCUUUUACGAUGUAAAAAAUGAUCGUUUCUACAGCUAGAACG
This 5069-nucleotide ribosomal RNA is filed under the name Triticum aestivum (bread wheat). Its description in RNAcentral is "partial small subunit ribosomal RNA". Lineage: Eukaryota; Viridiplantae; Streptophyta; Magnoliopsida; Poales; Poaceae. The record is from RNAcentral.